Zalophus californianus (California sea lion) is the source of this 2760-nucleotide long non-coding RNA. RefSeq lists it as uncharacterized. The record is from RefSeq and is a predicted model, not a curated record. NCBI's taxonomy places the organism in Eukaryota, Metazoa, Chordata, Mammalia, Carnivora, Otariidae. The transcript is spliced from 4 exons.
UUCUCGGAAGCUGGGUGGGCAGCUCAGGUGGGAGAUCAAGCCAUCAGCCAUUCUGACCUCCCCCAGAUAACUCUGGGGCUACCUCUGGCUCCCCACUCCCCACACCUGGGAGACUCAGCCACAGGGACCCCUCUGUAACCUGAGUCCCAGAAGGAGGUGUGGAAUUCCAACCAUACCAUGGUGUGCUUAAAUAAGGAGAGGGAAGUCAUUUAAUCCAGAUCUUUCCCUUUCAGCCAAUGAUCAAAAGUAGCUUUUGUGUGAAGCUUCAAAAAUUGUAGAAAGUAAAGAAUCGUCACUCUGUCCGCAUCCUGCUCUGCACCGUGGCCCUGCCCCCGCCCCGCCCCGCCCCGCCCCUUGCAAGCUUCUGGUUUAUUCCUGUUGUCAGGACAAGCUGUCUCUCUGGAAUUUCUAGGACAUUCCCCAUUCCCAGUCUUCUGGCAAGUGACCCACCAGAAGAAAAUUGGCUCUGAAGUUUAUUUUGUGAGUUCAAGACACAUCAAGGAACUCCAGGAGUAUUUGGUAUUGCUCCUGAAAAAAGACUACGUUCUUUGUAACCAUGCAGAUGGGCACUACUCAACCCGGAGGGUGUAUGUAUCAUGAAUAAUCUUGGGAAGUGAGGAAAAUGUGAGAAGAAUGCGGUGAGCAGCUGAACGGAAACAGGGUCCUGAAGCACAGGGAGAGGGGACAGGAGUUGUGACUUGUCGCCCGUAGGAGACAAGCAUGGUCAAGUGUUGCCAGGAACAGUAAGGGAGGUUCCUUCCAUGUUGCCCAGUGAGAAGCAUAACCCUGAGGGUUUCCCUUUUAUGUCAAAUGCCAAGAAACAAAGACCACAUAAAAUAUCUCAUUGACAUUAGUAGGCGAGGGGAAAUCAAGUUCAGUGCAUUAUGUUAAUGAGAAAUCACCAUGAACAUCACACAGCCCAUGAACUUUGGGGUUUGGCUAGAAGAGUCUGGCUUUUCAACCACCAGGGCACCACAGGAAAUGCAAACAAAUAUUUUAAAAGUCCAGUGGGAUGAGGGAGAUCCCUAGCCUGCAAACUUACCAACGCAGGACGUCUGACAUCCGCGUACAUUUUACCAGAGAAUUCAUGUGGUGAACAGCAGUGGGGUCCCAGGCUGCCCACGGAAGUCGACCUAACCCCCCGCGAGCUAAGCCCUGGCCAGGAUGUUCUCGUUCCAGAAGAGAGCAAAAGCCUGGAUAGUUAUCUUCGUUCCUCCCUCUAGAAUUCACACGGUUGCUAACAGUGCAUUGAAUUAAUGGAGAAUGAGGGAGUAGGUGAUGUCUUUCUUUCCUUUCCAUCUCUGAAGAGAACUUGCGGGCCCUGCAUGGACCUAGUAACUGAAGACUGAUUCUUUGCAAUGAAGGAGGCAAAGCAAUCCAUGGAUGGACUGUGUGCCGCCCAAGCAGGGGAGCACUAUUCCCAGAGGAUCUGGGGCAAGAGCAAGGGUGUAGAGCAUGAGAAGAGGAAACAGAGCGCGAAGCACGACUGGCUAGGUGGUCGGCCACUUCCUCAUACGGCCGGCAGGUCCUCGUUUCCAGGCGGAGGGGAGCUAGCGGCUGCUGGAGCACCGGUGUGUGUUAGGGUCCUUGGCAGGUGCCUCCGUGAGUGCCGGCGGACUCAGGUUUAAGGUGGUGUGAGGAGGAAGAAUGAAAUCUGAACUAAAAUAAGGCACAAUGAGAGGCCAUGGAACUGUUCCAGGGAUCUUAAUUAAAAACAGGAAGCAUUUUCAAGGAUUUUUCAAGAAGCCUGCUCCAAAUAAAAGCCUGGUUUUUAAAAAUACCACCUUUGUUGGAAGAGCUUCCAUCGGGGACUAGCGGGCCUGUGCUUGGAAAUGACACCCCUGCUUUUUGCUCCUCCCCAGCAGGCACCCCAGCCCUGCUGACUCACUGAGGCCCCCUGCCCCUGCUGUUCGGGGCGCAGCCCCAUUAUCCCGGUUUUAGGCAAUAGUAGGGGGACUAGUCCUCCUGGUUUGUCCCGGACUGAAGGGUCUCCUAGGGUCUAAAACUGGGAAGCUCCCAGACAACUGGGACAAAUUGGUCCCCCUCAUUUGAAACUGAGACAGAAUGCCUCUCCUCCAUUUGGGCUUGUCCAUCCCAACCUCUGGAUCCGCCCCAUGACUUCCUCUAGAACACGGACGCCUCUUUGGACAGAAUGCUCUCUCUUUGGCCGUCUCCGCUCUAACCAACUUCGGGUGAACUUCCUCGGCUGUGUUACGCCCUGCUGCUCGGGAGGACCCCUGGCCAAACAAGAACAUAAAGUUCAAAUUCUAAUUUUACCUUCUUUACAAUAAUUUUUUUUAAUUACAACUCAAGUGGAGGAAUGGGAUAUUCAAGCAUUAAAUGUUUUAAUUUAUUAGGCACUGUGCCUUUAUCAUCGGGCAUUUAACUGCAAUUUGAUCACUAAGUCAACAGAGAAGGUAUACAGAAAGAGGGGCUGGGAUGGCCUUCGCUGCGUCUCGGAAGGUGAAUGCACCUUAUUUAUUGCUCCCAAGGCCCUGCUGUCUUGUGUAUUCUGGAACGUGUCUCUUGAGAGUCUUGUCCCUGACCGGAGGCCUCGAUUUCCUUCCAAGCUCUUGCUGUAAUUUAUGGAUUAAAAGUCUUUCCUCUUGCAGGACAUUGUUUGGUGUGCUGUGUGCAAGUGCUCAGCUUGGUUUAUCGUGCAAAGACUAACAAAGCCUGGCAUGUUUACCUCCCUUGAAGAAACGUGGCUGCCUCCACAAACUCAGACUUUGCUCUCUUCCUAAGUCCGGCUUCAGAAAG